Molecule: unclassified non-coding RNA, 314 nt
Filed under: plant metagenome
Description: partial contains 5.8S ribosomal RNA, internal transcribed spacer 2, and large subunit ribosomal RNA
Rfam family: 5.8S ribosomal RNA (bases 1-105)
Source: RNAcentral
GAAAUGCGAUAAUUAAUGUGAAUUGCAGAAUUCGGUGAAUCAUCGAGUCUUUGAACGCACAUUGCGCCCCCUGGUAUUCCGGGGGGCAUGCCUGUCCGAGCGUCAUUGCUGCCCUCAAGCACGGCUUGUGUGUUGGGCUUCCGUCCCUGGCAACGGGGACGGGCCCAAAAGGCAGUGGCGGCACCAUGUCUGGUCCUCGAGCGUAUGGGGCUUUGUCACCCGCUCCCGUAGGUCCAGCUGGCAGCUAGCCUCGCAACCAAUCUUUUUAACCAGGUUGACCUCGGAUCAGGUAGGGAUACCCGCUGAACUUAAGC